Molecule: ribosomal RNA, 2988 nt
Filed under: Triticum aestivum (bread wheat)
Lineage: Eukaryota; Viridiplantae; Streptophyta; Magnoliopsida; Poales; Poaceae
Description: partial small subunit ribosomal RNA
Source: RNAcentral
AUGUCGGGGACGGUGGUGAGCAUGGCAAGGUCCAUGCUGAUGGGCGCCAUCAGCGUGGCCGCCUCUGCCGCUGCUGCCGAGAUGAGCCUCCUCAUUGGCGUCCGCAAAGACAUCUGGUUCAUCAAAGAUGAGCUAGAGACCAUGCAUGCAUUCCUUCUGUCUGUUGAAGCGACGAAGAACAAAAGUAUGGUAUUGCAGGUGUGGGCCAAGCAAGUAAGGGACCUUGCCUACGGUAUUGAGGAUUGCCUUGCUGAAUUCAUGGUGCAUGUGGGAAGCCAGAGCCGGUCUCAACGACUGCUUAAGCUAAAAGACCGCCAUCGCAUUGCCAGCCAAAUCCAUGCUCUCAAAGCAAGGGUUGAAGAAGUGAGCAACAGGAACACACGCUAUAACUUGAUCACCACAGAUGCCUCUAGCAGUAUUGACGAGGUGAAUUCCUACAUGGAAGACAUUCGCAGCCACUCAGCUAGCAACAUUGAUGAAGCAGAGCUUGUGGGCUUUGCUAAGCCUAAACAGGAGUUGAUUAAUAUGGUGGAUGUUCGCUCCAGAGAUGGUCUUCGGAAGGUGAUAUGUAUCGUUGGCAUGGGUGGUUUAGGCAAGACUACUCUUGCUAGGAAGGCAUAUGAAAGUAAAAAAGACACCAUUAAUAAUUUUUCUUGUUGUGCUUGGCUCACAGUCUCACAGUCGUUUUACAAAAUAGAGAUGCUCAAGGACAUGAUUAGGCAGCUAUUGGGUGGUGAUUCAUUGAAGAUUUGCUUGAAGGAACUUGAAGGGAAGGCGGUGCAAGUAGACAAUCUCGGUAGCUACCUGAGAGAAAAGCUAGUGGAUAAGAGGUACUUCAUUGUUCUUGAUGACUUGUGGACCAUAGAUGCUUGGAGGUGGAUCGAAGAUAUUGCUAUUCCUAGUAAAAACAAUAAAGGUAGUCGUAUAAUAGUAACAACACGAGAUCAUGGCUUGGCUAAGGAGUGCACCACUGAAUCGCUUCUCUAUCACCUCAAGUACUUGCAACCAGAUGAUGCUACAAAUUUGCUACUAAUAAAGAGUCGGAAAACACAUCAAGACAUGGAAAAUGAUAAGGAUAUGAAGAACAUGGCCAACAAAAUUGUGAAUAAGUGUGGUGGUCUACCGCUCGCUUUACUCACUAUAGGAGGCAUGCUUGCCACCAAAAAGGUAACAGAGUGGGAGAGUAUCUAUAAACAAAUCCCCUUAGAGCUCGAGGUCAACCCUAGCCUUGAAGCAAUGAGGAGGGUAGUUACUCUAAGCUACAACCACUUGCCAUCUCAUCUCAAGUCAUGCUUAUUGUAUCUAAGCAUCUUUCCUGAGGAUUUUGUAAUCAAAAGGAGACCUUUGGUGGAGAGAUGGAUAGCCGAGGGGUUUGUUAGAGCCAGGGUUGGGGUGAGCAUUGAGGAUGUGGGAAACAACUACUUUAAUGAGCUAGUCAACCGUAGCAUGAUUCAAUCUUUUAGGGUGAACAUUGAAGGAAACGUUAAGAGUUGUCGAAUCCAUGAUAUUGUGCGUGAUGUCAUGAUCUCAGUUUCUAGAGAGGAAAAUUUUGUGCAUGUGGCGGGAAAUAAUGUAACUGGUGCUGUGGAGGAGACCUUCCGACAUGUAGCAUACCAUGGUAGCAUGUGCCAGAAGACAGAUAUGGAUUGGAGCCACGUCCGGUCAGUAACUAUGUUUGGUGAGAGAUCAUUGGGUCCAUCACCUUCAGUUUGUUCACCUGACAUGAGAAUGCUCCGGGCCUUGGAUUUAGAGAAUGCACAGUUUCAAGUCACACAAAAGGAUAUCAGCAACAUAGGAUUGUUUCGCCACUUGAAGUAUCUGAAUUUUUCUUAUCCUCGAAGAUAUUCACAUAUUUAUAGACUUCCUAGAUCCAUAGGGAGAUUACAAGGUUUGCGCACUUUGAACAUUAGAGACAGUUGUAUUACAGAACUGCCAAUUGAGAUUUGUAAACUCAAGAAUCUACACAGUCUCCGUUGUACCAGAAAUAAUUCCUAUGAAUACUUUGACCUGAAUGACCCCACGGUAUGCUUGUUGAGCACAUUUUGUUGGCCCAUACUGUUUACACCUUUGGCAGAUCCUAAUGAGCGCGACAGGUUAGUUGCUGAGCUACACAUGGCCUGGUCUAGCCAUUGGUCCGAGUCAGAAGGUGUGAGGGUGCCAAAAGGAAUCGGCAAGCUGAAAGAGCUGCAGAUACUAGAGGCUGUGGACAUCAGCAAAACUAGUCGCAAAGCAAUUAAAGAGCUAGGUGAGCUUGUGCAGCUGAGAAAACUAACUGUGGUAACAAAAGGAGCGACCAAGCAAAAAUGCAAGGUACUCUGUGAUGCCAUUCAGAAGCUCACUUCCCUCGGCUCUCUUGAAGUGGACGGUUCACUCGAGUGGCUGCAUGUUGUUUCCUCUCCUCCUCCCCCGUUGAGGAGUCUGAAGUUGUAUGGAUGCCUUGAAGAGAUUCCUGGCUGGGUUGGCAGUCUGAUGCAUUUGGUCAAGCUUUGCUUAAAGGGCAGCGUAAUAAAGGAACAAGGCAAAACCACGGAAAUACUAGGGCCACUACCCAACCUCAUGCACCUUCGUCUUGAAAUCGGCUCUUAUAUUGGGGAGAAGUUAGUGUUCAAAACAGAAGCAUUCCGAAAUCUCAAGAAGCUUCAUAUUCGGGGUCUGCAGCAGCUGAGAGAGGUGAGAUUUGAGGAUGGCACCUCACCCCAGCUGGCAAUGAUAGAUAUCAGUUGGUGCAAUCUGGCAUCAGGAAUUAUUGGAGUCCACCAGCUUCCAAAGCUCAAGGAGAUCUCACUUGGUCCCUUUGGUCGAGUGGCGAAGCUUGCUAUGCUGCAAAGUGAAGUGGACGCACACCCCAACAUUCCCGUGCUGCGACUGCAGACGGACAGAAGAUACCACGACCUGGUAGGCACCGCCGUUGAACUGGGAGAAGCAACGGGUGAAUCGUCAUCUCCCCAUCCCGAGCCUGCAGAUGCAGGAGAGAGCUCACUGUCCUAG